Dunckerocampus dactyliophorus (ringed pipefish) is the source of this 5147-nucleotide long non-coding RNA. RefSeq lists it as uncharacterized. NCBI's taxonomy places the organism in Eukaryota, Metazoa, Chordata, Actinopteri, Syngnathiformes, Syngnathidae. The transcript has 5 exons. The record is from RefSeq and is a predicted model, not a curated record.
UCUGCUUGAAAAAUAGGAAGGUGCAUAAAUAAAAAGGUCCCAGCCGCCGUUCUCGACAAGCUCCAUGCACAUCUGCCAUGGCUGACUGUGGGAAGAUUUGAUGGCCAUCUGGCUGCCUCGCUCUUCCGUCACCAUUUUCUGUCACUCUCAAGCAUGGGUGCUGUCCUGGGUAUCAAACCUGUGGCUCUCUGUGAGUCCGGCACUGCACUUCCUGCUGCUGCCUUGAUUGGGUACCAAAGAGAGAGGGUCUGGUCUGAUGAGGUACCUGCAGAUGGGACACGGAUCGCACAGAGGAACCCUGAACCUGGCAUGGAGUCGAGACCCAGCAGCAGCCUGGUGAUGGAGAUCAUGUAAUCCUUGACGAAGGACUGUCCAAAGUAAAUAGAGAGGAUGCUGCCACUGUGAGCAAAGGGCAGGCGGAACAUAAACACCAGGUUGGAUCCUCUCUCCCUUUCCUUCUGCAGACUGGUCUCCCAGGAGGUCAAAAGUUGGGUUGCUGACGCCAUCCACCAACUCCAGGACGGGUGCGAUGCUGUGCCGCCUCUCCUCGGCGGAGUCUCCCACAGCAGGCAAGGCCAAAGUAUUAGCACCGCUCAUCUCCGUCCUAGAGCUGCUCCGGCUUCCUCUUCCGCUGCCAGGCCCACCGCUCCCUGGAUCUGGACCUUCUGGACUGCUGUCACUGGAAUCCUGCAGGUCGAUUGCCACUGUGCCUGAAAUAGACCCAAAGCCUCAAUGAUUAUCAGGGUGGAGAUCAAGCUAUUUGUGUGUGAUGUGGUCGGUAUGAAAGAACAGCAGAACCCUGACCUCAACCCCAUUAGACACGGAGGCUGCCUUGUCUAACAUUAGUGGUCUUUUACACGUGUGACCUCACUGACCCAUGCUGGCGAUAAUACUGUGCACUGGAAGGCGGGUGAGUCCAUGGUAAAUGCUUUGGUGAACGCCCCUUGUGUUCCCUCCGGUGCUGCCCCACGACGGUUCCCUCUGGCCCCGGACAAAUGCCGAGUUCUCCUCUUUGGAGAUGUUGAUGUAGAAGCAGAUGUCAGAGGCCCCCAUGAUAUGGCAGGGGCCGGGAUUUAGCAGGAUGUUGGUGGUGUCCAGCCUUCGCACUCCGAUCAAGCACACCCCAUACCUGUUGCCACGAAGACAAGAAUUAGGCGCCAAAUGGCGCACAAUUGGCUGCAUUUUUCUGUUUCACAUAUCACUUACUUCUUGUGAGCGUGAAAGGAGGCAAAGGUGAAACUCUUGCCCUGGUAUUCCCCGAAGAAUUUGCUCUCCUCCAGGCGGAUGUGGUGCACCUCAUUGGCUGAGCAGCGGCGGUAGGUUCGAUGCCAUUGGUCCGCAGCGCAGGCGCCACCUUCCCUGAAAAGCGGACAUACAGUAUAGAAUGGUUGGCCAUGUGGGGGGAAAGUGACCUUUUUAAGCAUCUAAUGCAAAGCUUCCUGCGAAGCGACUGGGGUCACAUCAUCAAGGCCUGGAGAAUUCAUGUCUAACAUCUCUGUCAGAGCUCCUUGAUCAAUACUUCAAUCAGUACACUGACCCAAGCAAGGACGAGCAGUCUGUCGAAACAACAGAGCCCAUGUACACUUAAGUAGACUGCCAUGUUCUCAGGGGUAUACGGCUUUAGAUGCGGAGGCCACUGAGAUGAGAACAGGAAGCAAGGCUGUGGGGGCAGUGUGAAUGUGGGUGGCCUGUGACAAUAAGACUUAUAUAAACAAGUGUUACAUCGACUUUGCAGUUUGUACAAAUGGUUUAAUUUACUUUGUUGCAGCAUGGUCAUGCAUCAUUGUCUCAGCCAAUAAUCCACAAGGAAACGUGGCUUCAGUGUACACUCACUGGCCAUAACGUUAGGUAAGAAUGUGACCUGUGGAAGCUGAGCAGUAUCCUCAAGAUGUUCAGUCCGGAAGUAUUUAGGCAAUCGUUUGUAUUGGUGGCUUCAAUUAUUCAGUAAGUCUUUUUUCUCUUUACAUAAUUUGUCUUGCAGUUACGAGACGAUGGACCACACCUUACAAGUUAACCCCUUGUAUGUUAAAGACUUUUACUCUCUCAGACAAUACGCUGGUGUAAAAUUGUGGUAAUUUCUAAAUGAUAAAUGCCUUUAUGAUUGGAUCUAAAAUGAGAACAUACCUGUUCAGGCCUUGAAAAGCUCCUCCACGUUGCUUAAAAGCCUCCUGGGGUGCAGUCCUAAAAACAGGCCCCCCAAACAUAAUAAAAAUCACUUGCAAAAUUAAGCAUAAUUAUCUAUGUAAAGGCAGUAUUUUUUUAUCCCACUCUGAUAUGUAAGAAUGGUUGCAUGUGAAGACAAGCACAGGGGCAAAGCUCCGAGUGAACUCACUGUCCUCUGGAGGAGUGAAUCAACAGCGUGAUGAGCGUUGAAGUACCAGGGCACACGCAGUUUAAAGCCAGCAUUGCAUACUUAAACUCUUCCUCGCACACCACAUGAUCUGUGGAAAAAGAGGAGGAAAGAAAAAAAAAAAAAGAAUGUCAGUCACAUUCAGGCUGCUGACCUUCGUCUGUGCAUUUGUGUGUGUGCAUCGCAUUCUGUUGAGAUGCGCCUCACUUCAUCAAUUCAGGUCUAACCUACAGCGCUAGGAUGCAUUGAAGCCAUUAAAUUGCAUUGAAAUCCAUUAAAGGCUUGCUGCGAUAUUUCCCUCUGAACUGCAAAUGUCAGAGUCUGCUUGCUCCGCAGGAAAUGUCAGGGGAUCUCCAAAGUAAAAGCUCUUUAUCCUCUGGCAACACAUCAUGGCGGUCCAUACAGUGGCCGUUCAUCUAUUUCAGUCUGGGCCAAACUGAGCCGACACAAAAGUCCGUCAGGCCUUUGCAAAUCAACUUUUCUUGAGGCAUUUAAUUGGCUAAGGUUCUGAGGUUGACGUGACAUUCUCUGAUCCAUAUCCCAGACAAGGUUGAGUAAGGCAACCUUGACUCGCCCUCACCUUAACAGCACUGCUCCAAGGGAGAAGGAGGCUCAGGUGAUCUACUUAAUCCCUCUAGUGCGUUCUGGGUCAGCACCAGGGUCUCCUAUACUUUUAAUCUUUUCAGAGCUCAUUCUGAAACUUCAUUGGCAUGACAUGUAAAAGAAGUCAACACUCUAUCCUCCUUGACCCGACUGCAUUGAAACGGCGUAGACAAACCUGCUGGAAACGUUGAUUUGCACAUUUUGUUUUGAACUCAUCAAUUGUUCCUCCCCAAAUCAAUAAGUAAUUCCCAUCCCUGAGCCUUAGGGGAGCCCAAAUUAUGUUUUUUUUGGUUUUGUUUUGUUGGUCCAAAACGCAGAAAUGUCUCAAACAAGCUUAAGUAGUGAGUAGAAAUAUGUGUUUGGCAUUUCCACAGCGAUUAGCAAAAGUUUCAUUGUGUGCCGAUCAACUGAAAUUAAGUUACAAAAGACGAAAUGUUCCCAAUUAAAAGUUUUUUGGACAUGUCCUCUGUUAAUCUGGUAAACCAAUAAACCAGUAAACCAAUACACACUAUAGGCUACAAUAGUUUAAGGACAGAAUUGGACUCUGUACCCCUAUUUCUGACAGUGUACAGUACCGCUCCUCUGGCACCACUCUGGACAAUUUAGGGGUACAAUGUGUUGCCAUUCUGGUGGUACCAUUAGAGGUAGUGCUUCUGUGCCAUUGCCAUUCAACUUUUACAUCCUAGGAACACACCUCUGUACACUAUUGCGCACACAAAAGGUACCAACAUUUACCUUGAAGUCCAAUAAUUCACCUGAUCGAGUACUUUCGUGUAGAUUUUACUUUGAGGGACAGAUGUCGACUCCUUGUAGCCAUAUUUCUGACAAAUUACCCUAAUUAGUGGUGUGUGAAGUACAGUAUGCUGUAUGACAAAAGUCAGUACGCCCCUCAAUUACAACAACCAUUUAUCUUCUUGAGGGACCACACUAUAGUAAUGAAUGAAACUCAAAUGUUUCAGGCUACUGUUGACGUCCCUUUUUUUAAUGACCAUGACGUGACGAUGACGAGCUAAACAUGACUCUUUGAUGAUUAAAACAUGACAUGUGCGAGUUUUCGUUGACGAGACUGUACGAAAAUGUUAGGGGGUGGUUUGUCAGGCAUUCAAAAUGCAUGACAUCUCUGCCUAUUGUGUGUGUAAUGUCUAUCAAAAGCAUUUAGGGGUACAAUGUCUUGCCACUCUGGUGGGGGAACUGUAGCAGUUUCUGUGCCCCUUGUGUCUAAAUCAUUGGUUCUCAUUUAUUUUCUGUCAUGCCCCCACUGAAGGACAGAAAUGUUUUUGCGCUCCCCCUCCGAUUUGAAACUGAUAAAAAGUAUUUAUAUAUCUGUACUGUACAGAUCGAACGGGCCGCAUGGUGGCCUAGUGGUUAGCAUGUCAGGAGAUCGGGAAGAUCUGGGUUCGACUCUCCGUUGGUCAUCUCUGUGUGGAGUUUGCAUGUUCUCCCCGUGCGUGCGUUUUCUCCAGGUACUCCGGUUUCCUCCCACAUUCCAAAAACAUGCAUGUUAGGUUAAUUGGUGACUCUAAAUUGUCCAUAGGUAUGAAUGUGAGUGUGAAUGCUUGUUUGUCUAUAUGUGCCCUGCGAUUGGCUGGCGACCAGUUCAGGGCGUUCUCGCCCGAAGUCAGCUGGGAUAGGCUCCAGCAUACCCGCGACCCUAGUUAGGAUAAGCGGCAUAGAAGAUGGAUGGUACAGAUCAAACGCAAAACCCAGCAAAAGGCCAAAAAUGGAGAGCAGUAAAGCAUACAAGCGUGUUUAUGAGUCAAAUUGCAUGCGACAAAUUCAGACAUGUUGGUAGGUCUGCACUAAUAUCGAAAGUCCUCCCUGCCUCUCUGGGUGAUUUUUUUAGGCGAAAUAGAUGAAUCAUUGUCUAGAACACACAGUACAGGGUACAGUACAGCACAGUACAGUACAGCACAGUACAGGGUGGCUAAUGGACACCAAUGGAUGUUACUUUUAGAGCAGUUUUAAGCCAUAAAAACAGCCACUAGUAGGUGGCACAAGUGAAUUUGAUAAGAGAUCGGCAUGUGAAUUUGAAUGGAAAAAAACAUAUACUGUAUGACAGCAAGGAGGAAGUGGAAAAACGUGGAGGAGUGUAGCAUGCAGAAGGUUAUGCAUUGUAGGGAAAUGUUAAUGCAGGCACACGCGCGCACACGCAUGCACACACACAGUUCAGUUCCAAAUGUGAAAAUGGUAAAUA